Molecule: ribosomal RNA, 1093 nt
Filed under: Salmonella enterica subsp. enterica serovar Newport
Lineage: Bacteria; Pseudomonadati; Pseudomonadota; Gammaproteobacteria; Enterobacterales; Enterobacteriaceae
Description: partial 23S ribosomal RNA
Rfam family: Bacterial large subunit ribosomal RNA
Source: RNAcentral
GACCAUCCUCCAAGGCUAAAUACUCCUGACUGACCGAUAGUGAACCAGUACCGUGAGGGAAAGGCGAAAAGAACCCCGGCGAGGGGAGUGAAAAAGAACCUGAAACCGUGUACGUACAAGCAGUGGGAGCACCCUUUUGGGUGUGACUGCGUACCUUUUGUAUAAUGGGUCAGCGACUUAUAUUCUGUAGCAAGGUUAACCGAAUAGGGGAGCCGGAGGGAAACCGAGUCUUAAUUGGGCGUUAAGUUGCAGGGUAUAGACCCGAAACCCGGUGAUCUAGCCAUGGGCAGGUUGAAGGUUGGGUAACACUAACUGGAGGACCGAACCGACUAAUGUUGAAAAAUUAGCGGAUGACCUGUGGCUGGGGGUGAAAGGCCAAUCAAACCGGGAGAUAGCUGGUUCUCCCCGAAAGCUAUUUAGGUAGCGCCUCGUGAAUUCAUCUCCGGGGGUAGAGCACUGUUUCGGCUAGGGGGCCAUCCCGGCUUACCAACCCGAUGCAAACUGCGAAUACCGGAGAAUGUUAUCACGGGAGACACACGGCGGGUGCUAACGUCCGUCGUGAAGAGGGAAACAACCCAGACCGCCAGCUAAGGUCCCAAAGUCAUGGUUAAGUGGGAAACGAUGUGGGAAGGCCCAGACAGCCAGGAUGUUGGCUUAGAAGCAGCCAUCAUUUAAAGAAAGCGUAAUAGCUCACUGGUCGAGUCGGCCUGCGCGGAAGAUGUAACGGGGCUAAACCAUGCACCGAAGCUGCGGCAGCGACACUCAGGUGUUGUUGGGUAGGGGAGCGUUCUGUAAGCCUGUGAAGGUGUGUCGUGAGGCAUGCUGGAGGUAUCAGAAGUGCGAAUGCUGACAUAAGUAACGAUAAAGCGGGUGAAAAGCCCGCUCGCCGGAAGACCAAGGGUUCCUGUCCAACGUUAAUCGGGGCAGGGUGAGUCGACCCCUAAGGCGAGGCCGAAAGGCGUAGUCGAUGGGAAACGGGUUAAUAUUCCCGUACUUGGUGUUACUGCGAAGGGGGGACGGAGAAGGCUAUGUUGGCCGGGCGACGGUUGUCCCGGUUUAAGCGUGUAGGUGUGUGUUCCAGGUAAAUCCGGUU